AUUGAACGCUGGCGGCAGGCCUAACACAUGCAAGUCGAACGAGUGGCGGACGGGUGAGUAAUGUCUGGGAAACUGCCCGAUGGAGGGGGAUAACUACUGGAAACGGUAGCUAAUACCGCAUACCAUCGGAUGUGCCCAGAUGGGAUUAGCUAGUAGGUGGGGUAACGGCUCACCUAGGCGACGAUCCCUAGCUGGUCUGAGAGGAUGACCAGCCACACUGGAACUGAGCCACGGUCCAAGCUCCCACGGUAGGGAGGAGUGGGGAAUAUUGCACAAUGGGCGCAAGCCUGAUGCAACCAUGCCGCGUGUAUGAAGGAGGCCUUCGGGUUGUAAAGUACUUUCAGCGGGGAGGCGUUACCCGGAGAAGAAGCACCGGCUAACUCCGUGCCAGCAGCCGGGGUAAUAC
RNAcentral lists this ribosomal RNA (406 nucleotides) under uncultured bacterium. RNAcentral describes it as "partial 16S ribosomal RNA". It matches the Rfam family "Bacterial small subunit ribosomal RNA", at positions 30 to 526 of the family's 1533-position model. The record is from RNAcentral.